GAUGAAGAACGCAGCGAAAUGCGAUAAGUAAUGUGAAUUGCAGAAUUCAGUGAAUCAUCGAAUCUUUGAACGCACAUUGCGCCCGCCAGUAUUCUGGCGGGCAUGCCUGUUCGAGCGUCAUUUCAACCAUCAAGCCCCCGGCUUGUGUUGGGGACCUGCGGCUGCCGCAGGCCCUGAAAAGCAGUGGCGGGCUCGCUGUCACACCGAGCGUAGUAGAUUUUAUCUCGCUCAGGGCGUGCUGCGGGUUCCGGCCGUUAAAAAGCCUUUUUUACCCAAGGUUGACCUCGGAUCAGGUAGGAAGACCCGCUGAACUUAAGCAUAUCAAUAAGCGGAGGA
Molecule: unclassified non-coding RNA, 336 nt
Filed under: soil metagenome
Description: partial contains 5.8S ribosomal RNA, internal transcribed spacer 2, and large subunit ribosomal RNA
Rfam family: 5.8S ribosomal RNA (bases 1-120)
Source: RNAcentral